This 393-nucleotide unclassified non-coding RNA is filed under the name Hevea brasiliensis (rubber tree). The record is from RNAcentral. Lineage: Eukaryota; Viridiplantae; Streptophyta; Magnoliopsida; Malpighiales; Euphorbiaceae.
UGAGGUGGUUAAGACAGCAGAUGGGAAUGGUAGGGCAGGAGCCUGUGUUAUUCAAUGACAGUAUCAGAGCCAAUAUAACAUAUGGAAAGGAAGGGAAUGCAACAGAGACUGAAAUUUUAGCUGCAUCAGAGUUGGCGAAUGCCCACAAGUUCAUCAGUAGCUUACAACAGGGUUAUGAAACAAGAGUUGGAGAAAGAGGGGUCCAGUUGUCCGGCGGACAGAAGCAACGAGUGGCCAUUGCAAGAGCUAUAGUGAAGGCACCGAAAAUCCUACUUCUAGAUGAAGCGACCAGUGCUCUGGAUGCAGAAUCUGAACGACUAGUUCAAGAUGCGCUGGAUAGAGUUAUGGUGAAUAGAACGACGGUGGUGGUAGCCCAUCGAUUAUCUACAAUCA